UCUCCGUUGGUGAACCAGCGGAGGGAUCAUUACCGAGUGCAAACUCAUAACCCUUUGUGAACCUAUAUAUGUUGCUUCGGCGGCUCGCUCUCGGGCGAGCCCGCCGGUAAUAUCAGUAUCUUUGUUUGAACCCGACGAUACUUUUGAGUGUUCUUAGCGAACAGUUAAAACUUUUAACAACGGAUCUCUUGGCUCUAGACUCACGGCAGAACGCAGCAGAUGGGAAAACAACACGAAGGAACUCCAGUAAUAAAUCAACCCAUCUGUUACCGUCUU
Molecule: unclassified non-coding RNA, 276 nt
Filed under: plant metagenome
Description: partial contains small subunit ribosomal RNA, internal transcribed spacer 1, and 5.8S ribosomal RNA
Source: RNAcentral